GAUCCUGGCUCAGGAUGAACGCUAGCUACAGGCUUAACACAUGCAAGUCGAGGGGCAUCAGUUUGGUUUGCUUGCAAACCAAAGCUGGCGACCGGCGCACGGGUGAGUAACACGUAUCCAACCUGCCUCAUACUCGGGGAUAGCCUUUCGAAAGAAAGAUUAAUACCCGAUAGUAUAGUAUUUCCGCAUGGUUUCACUAUUAAAGAACUUCGGUUAUCGAUGGGGAUGCGUUCCAUUAGAUAGUUGGG
RNAcentral lists this ribosomal RNA (248 nucleotides) under uncultured bacterium. Its description in RNAcentral is "partial 16S ribosomal RNA". It matches the Rfam family "Bacterial small subunit ribosomal RNA", at positions 15 to 253 of the family's 1533-position model. The record is from RNAcentral.